UACGAAGGUGGCAAGCGUUACUCGGAAUUACUAGGCGUAAAGGGCAGGUAGGUGGUUCGGUAAGUCUGUUGUGAAAGCUCCUGGCUUAACUGGGAGAGGUCAACAGAAACUGCUGGGCUUGAGUAUAGGAGAGGGUACUGGAAUUCCCGGUGUAGCGGUGAAAUGCGCAGAGAUCGGGAGGAACACCAAUGGCGAAAGCAGGUACCUGGACUAUUACUGACACUCAGCUGCGAAAGCUAGGGGAGCAAACAGG
This 253-nucleotide ribosomal RNA is filed under the name uncultured bacterium. RNAcentral's name for it is "partial 16S ribosomal RNA". It matches the Rfam family "Bacterial small subunit ribosomal RNA", at positions 524 to 776 of the family's 1533-position model. The record is from RNAcentral.